UAGGGAAUCUUCGGCAAUGGGGGGAACCCUGACCGAGCAACGCCGCGUGAGUGAAGAAGGUUUUCGGAUCGUAAAGCUCUGUUGUUAAGGAAGAACGAGUGUGAGAAUGGAAAGUUCAUACUGUGACGGUACUUAACCAGAAAGGGACGGCUAACUACGUGCCAGCAGCCGCGGUAAUACGUAGGUCCCGAGCGUUGUCCGGAUUUAUUGGGCGUAAAGCGAGCGCAGGCGGUUAGAUAAGUCUGAAGUUAAAGGCAGUGGCUCAACCAUUGUAGGCUUUGGAAACUGUUUAACUUGAGUGCAGAAGGGGAGAGUGGAAUUCCAUGUGUAGCGGUGAAAUGCGUAGAUAUAUGGAGGAACACCAGUGGCGAAGGCGACUCUCUGGUCUGUAACUGACGCUGAGGCUCGAAAGCGUGGGUAGCAAACAGG
Molecule: ribosomal RNA, 429 nt
Filed under: Bacteroidota bacterium
Lineage: Bacteria; Pseudomonadati; Bacteroidota
Description: Bacteroidetes bacterium partial 16S ribosomal RNA
Rfam family: Bacterial small subunit ribosomal RNA
Source: RNAcentral